UACGUAGGGUGCAAGCGUUGUCCGGAUUUAUUGGGUUUAAUGGGUGCGUAGGUGGCUUGUUAAGUCCGGGGUGAAAGCCCACAGCUCAACUGUGGAACUGCCCUGGAUACUGGCGAGCUUGAGUCCAGACGAGGUUGGCGGAAUGGAAGCUGUAGCGGUGAAAUGCAUAGAUAGCUUCCAGAACCCCGAUUGCGUAGGCAGCUGACUAGGCUGGUACUGACACUGAGGCACGAAAGCGUGGGGAGCGAACAGG
RNAcentral lists this ribosomal RNA (253 nucleotides) under uncultured bacterium. RNAcentral describes it as "partial 16S ribosomal RNA". It matches the Rfam family "Bacterial small subunit ribosomal RNA", at positions 524 to 776 of the family's 1533-position model. The record is from RNAcentral.